This 648-nucleotide ribosomal RNA is filed under the name uncultured fungus. RNAcentral describes it as "eukaryotic LSU rRNA". It matches the Rfam family "Eukaryotic large subunit ribosomal RNA", at positions 24 to 664 of the family's 3401-position model. The record is from RNAcentral. Lineage: Eukaryota; Fungi.
CCCGCUGAACUUAAGCAUAUCAAUAAGCGGAGGAAAAGAAACUAACAAGGAUUCCCUUAGUAACUGCGAGUGAAGAGGGAAAAGCUCAAAUUUAAAAUCUGGCAGUUAUUUGCUGUCCGAAUUGGAAAUGGGAGAAGUGUUAUCUGCGCUGGCCUGUGCGUAAGUCUCUUGUAAAAGAGCAUCAUAGAGGGUGACAAUCCCGUCUUUGGCACAGACUACCAGGGCUUUUGUGAUGCGCUCUCAACGAGACGAGUUGUUUGGGAAUGCAGCUCCCAAUGGGUGGUAAAUUCCAUCUCAAGCUAAAUAUUGUCGAGAGACCGAUAGUGCACGAAGUACCGUGAGGGAAAGAUGAAAAGAACUUUGGAAAGAGAGAUAAACAGUACGUGAAAUUGUUGAAAGGGAAACGCUCGAAGUCAGUCAUGUCUCAAUGAAAUCAACCUGGCUACUUGUCUGGUGUACUUUCUGUGGGACAGGUCAGCAUCAGUUCUGAUUGCUGGAAAAAGACCUUGGCGAAUGUGACAUCUUUUCGAAGAUGUGUUAUAGCCCUCGGACCACAUGCAGUGAUUGGGACUGAGGAACUCGAUGUGUGAAAUAACACAUUCAAGGAUGCUGGCAUAAUGGCUUUAAUCGACCCGUCUUGAAACACGG